UCUCUAUGUAGUCAAUGGUUUUACUGUCCAUAAUCUUCUUUCCUUGUUGGUCAGUGACAUGAAAUACUAUUCAUAGGGGGAAAAGUGAGAAAAAGAUAAGGUUAAAAGAAAUAUUAACAUAAGGCUAUAACAAUGGUGCCUUCUUUUGAAUACUUAGUUAAUGUCCUAGUAUUUUAGAAUUAAACACAUCAAGAGAGGAUCAUUGUAGAUUUAUAAUAAAGUUAAAACAUAUAUUUUUGAAUUAGAAAAAAUAAAAAUUCUUAAGCAUAGAAAGAACACCAUCCCUUGCCUAAUCUUCAAGGAACAAGGAAAAUAGAAGCAUGUACAUACUGUCCAUAAACCAUCCUCCAUCUG
This 354-nucleotide unclassified non-coding RNA is filed under the name Hevea brasiliensis (rubber tree). Lineage: Eukaryota; Viridiplantae; Streptophyta; Magnoliopsida; Malpighiales; Euphorbiaceae. The record is from RNAcentral.